Molecule: long non-coding RNA, 826 nt
Organism: Ruditapes philippinarum (Manila clam)
Lineage: Eukaryota; Metazoa; Mollusca; Bivalvia; Venerida; Veneridae
Exons: 3
Source: RefSeq, a predicted model, not a curated record
AUGAAUUCUUAUCAGUGAGUCUAUGUAUUUAAGAUGUUUCUUAUAGGAGUUUGUGAAAACUUAUGUUAAAAUGAAACCCAUUAUAUUUUGGUUGGCUUUACUUACAUUUCUUCAUAAUUUUUCAGGAUCAUCAUCAUAUAGAUGUUACGAUUGUCAACCAUGCUCUAACUCUGAUCCGAGAAAUGAAAAACAAGAUACAUGUGCGGGCUCCUGUGUUAAAUCUGAAAUUGAUAACAUAGUUUCAAGAACUUGUUCAAAGGUCAGCCUGAUACCAAAAUGUGAAAGUCAAGACGGUCUAACAGUGUGUGCGUGCGAUUCAGACUACUGUAACAGAUCUUCUGAGAAACAAAUACCUAUAGUUGGACUAUUCUAUACUUGUAUUAACUUUUUAUUGAUAAGAGUAAUAAAUCUUGUUUGAAUUUUGUGCUCGUGUGUAGAAUAUCAUUUUAGGUUUUCAACGGGUAGUUUACAUGUAAACUACAAACAAGCCGUGCUUUCUUUAUUGAUCAUUUUAGAAUGGCAGACGUAUUUCAAAAGUGUAAGAAUUACCUACUUACCGAAUCUAAAGAAAAUGUGUUUCUUCAGUAGCAUUUUCUACUUAUCAAUCAAAUUAUCGAAUUAGCAAAGAAACUGUGAAUUUAUCAACCAAACACUUAACUUCCUAGCUUAAUUGACUGCUGAUGAACUUGCAGGAUAUAUAUUAAAUUAAGCACUUGUUUUGAAAUCAGACAUUAAAAAUAAGGUAUAGAUUUUUUUUCAAAUGGUCAACUUAUUCUUCUUGACAGCAUUCUAUUUAUUAAGAUUCCAAUUUCCCUUACUAUGAUUU